UACAGAGGCCUCGAGCGUUGCGCGGAAUCACUGGGCUUAAAGGGUGCGUAGGCGGAUACACAAGUGCCUUGUGAAAUCCCCGGGCUCAACCCGGGAACUGCUUGGUAGACUGUGUGUCUUGAGGUCGGUAGGGGUCGCUGGAACAGUUGGUGGAGCGGUGAAAUGCGUAGAUAUCAACUGGAACGCCGAAGGCGAAGGCAAGCGACUGGGCCGAUUCUGACGCUGAGGCACGAAAGCGUGGGGAGCAAACGGG
RNAcentral lists this ribosomal RNA (253 nucleotides) under uncultured bacterium. RNAcentral describes it as "partial 16S ribosomal RNA". It matches the Rfam family "Bacterial small subunit ribosomal RNA", at positions 524 to 776 of the family's 1533-position model. The record is from RNAcentral.